RNAcentral lists this ribosomal RNA (485 nucleotides) under uncultured bacterium. Its description in RNAcentral is "partial 16S ribosomal RNA". It matches the Rfam family "Bacterial small subunit ribosomal RNA", at positions 30 to 507 of the family's 1533-position model. The record is from RNAcentral.
AUUGAACGCUGGCGGCAUGCCUUACACAUGCAAGUCGAACGGCGGCACGGGUGCUUGCACCUGGUGGCGAGUGGCGAACGGGUGAGUAAUACAUCGGAACAUGUCCUGUAGUGGGGGAUAGCCCGGCGAAAGCCGGAUUAAUACCGCAUACGAUCUACGGAUGAAAGCGGGGACCUUCGGGCCUCGCGCUAUAGGGUUGGCCGAUGGCUGAUUAGCUAGUUGGUGGGGUAAAGGCCUACCAAGGCGACGAUCAGUAGCUGGUCUGAGAGGACGACCAGCCACACUGGGACUGAGACACGGCCCAGACUCCUACGGGAGGCAGCAGUGGGGAAUUUUGGACAAUGGGCGAAAGCCUGAUCCAGCAAUGCCGCGUGUGUGAAGAAGGCCUUCGGGUUGUAAAGCACUUUUGUCCGGAAAGAAAUCCUUGGCUCUAAUACAGUCGGGGGAUGACGGUACCGGAAGAAUAAGCACCGGCUAACUACGUG